Molecule: transfer RNA, 64 nt
Filed under: Platypedia putnami
Lineage: Eukaryota; Metazoa; Arthropoda; Insecta; Hemiptera; Cicadidae
Description: tRNA-Phe
Rfam family: tRNA
About the family: Transfer RNA (tRNA) molecules are approximately 80 nucleotides in length. Their secondary structure includes four short double-helical elements and three loops (D, anti-codon, and T loops).
Source: RNAcentral
ACUUAAGUAGCUUAAGGUAGAGCAUAAUAUUGAAGAUAUUAAGGUAAAAUUUAAUUCUUAAGUA